GGCCAGGUAGCUCAGUCGGUAGAGCAGAGGACUGAAAAUCCUUGUGUCGCUGGUUCGAUUCCAGUCCUGGCCA
Molecule: transfer RNA, 73 nt
Filed under: Parachlamydiaceae bacterium
Lineage: Bacteria; Pseudomonadati; Chlamydiota; Chlamydiia; Parachlamydiales; Parachlamydiaceae
Description: tRNA-Phe
Rfam family: tRNA
About the family: Transfer RNA (tRNA) molecules are approximately 80 nucleotides in length.
Source: RNAcentral